Molecule: long non-coding RNA, 273 nt
Filed under: Amborella trichopoda
Lineage: Eukaryota; Viridiplantae; Streptophyta; Magnoliopsida; Amborellales; Amborellaceae
Description: long non-coding RNA (ATRI_LNC004910)
Source: RNAcentral
GGACGUCCAAAUUUGGUGUUCCACCUCUUUUCUAUAAUCUCGAUCACUUUGCUAGCAAAAUUACACUUCUCCCCAAUAGCUGAUUUCGCCCUCUCAAUACCUUCAUAAAGGAUACCCAUGGUAGCUUUCUUAUUAGCAUCCACCAUUCUUAACACCGUGACCAAAGGGGCAGUGGCCUCUACAACACUGGAACAUCGAGACCAGAACAACCUAUUUGAGAUUAUGUUAUCCACUUUUAUACCGGUACUGGACUUCGAGAGGCGGUCAUUUAAC